UACGGAGGGGGCGAGCGUUGUUCGGAGUUACUGGGCGUAAAGCGCACGUAGGCGGCCUGGUAAGUCAGGGGUGAAAUCCCACGGCUCAACCGUGGAAUUGCCUUUGAAACUGCUGGGCUUGGAUCCUGGAGAGGGUGGCGGAAUUCCUGGUGUAGGAGUGAAAUCCGUAGAUAUCAGGAGGAACACCGGUGGCGAAGGCGGCCGCCUGGACAGGUAUCGACGCUGAGGCGCGAAAGUGUGGGGAGCAAACAGG
RNAcentral lists this ribosomal RNA (253 nucleotides) under uncultured microorganism. RNAcentral's name for it is "partial 16S ribosomal RNA". It matches the Rfam family "Bacterial small subunit ribosomal RNA", at positions 524 to 776 of the family's 1533-position model. The record is from RNAcentral.